Molecule: ribosomal RNA, 409 nt
Filed under: uncultured bacterium
Lineage: Bacteria
Description: partial 16S ribosomal RNA
Rfam family: Bacterial small subunit ribosomal RNA
Source: RNAcentral
UGGGGAAUAUUGGACAAUGGGCGGAAGCCUGAUCCAGCAACGCCGCGUGAGGGAUGACGGCCUUCGGGUUGUAAACCUCUUUCAGUACCGACGAAGCGAAAGUGACGGUAGGUACAGAAGAAGGACCGGCCAACUACGUGCCAGCAGCCGCGGUAAUACGUAGGGUCCGAGCGUUGUCCGGAAUUAUUGGGCGUAAAGGGCUCGUAGGCGGUUUGUCGCGUCGGGAGUGAAAACAGCGGGCUUAACUCGUUGCUUGCUUUCGAUACGGGCAGACUAGAGGUAUGCAGGGGAGAAUGGAAUUCCUGGUGUAGCGGUGAAAUGCGCAGAUAUCAGGAGGAACACCGGUGGCGAAGGCGGUUCUCUGGGCAUUACCUGACGCUGAGGAGCGAAAGUGUGGGGAGCGAACAGG